AACGAACGCUGGCGGCAGGCUUAACACAUGCAAGUCGAACGCAUGCCUUCGGGCAUGAGUGGCAGACGGGUGAGUAACGCGUGGGAACCUACCCCUUGGUACGGGAUAGCUCCGGGAAACUGGAGAUAAUACCGUAUGUGUCCUGAGGGACAAAGAUUCAUCGCCAAGGGAUGGGCCCGCGUCGGAUUAGCUAGUUGGUGGGGUAACGGCCUACCAAGGCGACGAUCCGUAGCUGGUCUAGAGGAUGAUCAGCCACAUUGGGACUGAGACACGGCCCAAACUCCUACGGGAGGCAGCAGUGGGGAAUAUUGGACAAUGGGCGCAAGCCUGAUCCAGCCAUGCCGCGUGAGUGAUGAAGGCCCUAGGGUUGUAAAGCUCUUUCACCGGUGACGAUAAUGACGGUAACCGGAGAAGAAGCCCCGGCUAACUUCGUG
RNAcentral lists this ribosomal RNA (434 nucleotides) under uncultured bacterium. Its description in RNAcentral is "partial 16S ribosomal RNA". It matches the Rfam family "Bacterial small subunit ribosomal RNA", at positions 29 to 507 of the family's 1533-position model. The record is from RNAcentral.